GUGAGCGUAGCCUAGUGGUAAGGCGUCAGACUGUGGAUCUGAAGACCGCGGGUUCAAUUCCCGUCGCUCACCCCA
Molecule: transfer RNA, 75 nt
Filed under: Candidatus Zymogenus saltonus
Lineage: Bacteria; Deltaproteobacteria; Candidatus Zymogeniales; Candidatus Zymogenaceae
Description: tRNA-His
Rfam family: tRNA
About the family: Transfer RNA (tRNA) molecules are approximately 80 nucleotides in length.
Source: RNAcentral